RNAcentral lists this ribosomal RNA (468 nucleotides) under uncultured bacterium. RNAcentral's name for it is "partial 16S ribosomal RNA". It matches the Rfam family "Bacterial small subunit ribosomal RNA", at positions 28 to 507 of the family's 1533-position model. The record is from RNAcentral.
GACGAACGCUGGCGGCGUGCUUAACACAUGCAAGUCGAACGGAAAGGCCCUGCUUUUGUGGGGUGCUCGAGUGGCGAACGGGUGAGUAACACGUGAGUAACCUGCCCUUGACUUUGGGAUAACUUCAGGAAACUGGGGCUAAUACCGGAUAGGAGCUCCUGCUGCAUGGUGGGGGUUGGAAAGUUUCGGCGGUUGGGGCUGGACUGGCGGCUUAUCGGCUUGUUGGUGGGGUAGUGGCUUACCAAGGCUUUGACGGGUAGCCGGCCUGAGAGGGUGACCGGCCACAUUGGGACUGAGAUACGGCCCAGACUCCUACGGGAGGCAGCAGUGGGGAAUAUUGCACAAUGGGCGGAAGCCUGAUGCAGCAACGCCGCGUGCGGGAUGACGGCCUUCGGGUUGUGAACCGCUUUGGCCUGUGACGAAGCGUGAGUGACGGUAAUGGGUAAGGAAGCACCGGCUAACUACGUG